RNAcentral lists this ribosomal RNA (465 nucleotides) under uncultured bacterium. Its description in RNAcentral is "partial 16S ribosomal RNA". It matches the Rfam family "Bacterial small subunit ribosomal RNA", at positions 28 to 507 of the family's 1533-position model. The record is from RNAcentral.
GACGAACGCUGGCGGCGUGCUUAACACAUGCAAGUCGAACGGAAAGGCCCCUUUGGGGGUACUCGAGUGGCGAACGGGUGAGUAACACGUGAGUAACCUGCCCUUGACUUCGGGAUAACUUCAGGAAACUGGGGCUAAUACCGGAUAGGAAUCCUUGCUGCAUGGUGGGGGGUGGAAAGCUUCGGCGGUUUUGGAUGGACUCGCGGCUUAUCAGCUUGUUGGUGGGGUAGUGGCUUACCAAGGCUUUGACGGGUAGCCGGCCUGAGAGGGCGACCGGCCACAUUGGGACUGAGAUACGGCCCAGACUCCUACGGGAGGCAGCAGUGGGGAAUAUUGCACAAUGGGCGGAAGCCUGAUGCAGCAACGCCGCGUGCGGGAUGACGGCCUUCGGGUUGUAAACCGCUUUCAGCAGGGGCGAAGCUUGUGGUGACGGUACCUGCAGAAGAAGCACCGGCUAACUACGUG